This is a long non-coding RNA of Hypomesus transpacificus, 886 nucleotides long. RefSeq lists it as uncharacterized. Lineage: Eukaryota; Metazoa; Chordata; Actinopteri; Osmeriformes; Osmeridae. The transcript has 4 exons. The record is from RefSeq and is a predicted model, not a curated record.
GGGAGUUGUCUCAAGUAAACAUUAUCAUAAAUACUAAGAGCGAUAAGGAGCACAGCAGUGAUUUUCAAACCGACACUGCUUCAAGGGAAGACUGCAGUCCUAUGUAGACACGUGCGAGUCCAGCCUGGCUGAUGUAGUCUGCCAGAAGCCGGUUGACUUCUCUGCUCUUGGGCAUGGCCAGCAUUCCUCCCCUUAGUUUACAGUUCAUCAGAGCAUCUCUGUACUUUCUGGCCUCCUUCACGAUCAGCUUGCUCACAUUGAUGUCUAGCUGGCCAACAAGCUUUCUGUACCUCCCACAAUCACAAGUGGUCCCUACAGAAUCAGAUACAUGGAGGAAACAGACGGACCCAUCUUUCCCAUCUGCCCCACCUCUCCUUUAAAUCCUGUCUCCCCUGGCAACCCUGGAUGGAGGGAAGGAGACAAAGGGUGAACAAACUGCUAAAUCAAUAACGCUAUUGUAGCAAGCAUGCGAGAAAGGCACAGUGCUGGGAUUAAAUCUCUCUGUAUUAUUGCUAUCUCCCACAGCAGACAUCGGUUGUCUGAUUUACAGUACUUGUCUAGGAGUUGGACUUAAAGAUAGUUACCACAGUCCAAGACUUUCAUCCAGAACCGGAGUAUUCCUUUAAAAAAAUCCCUCAGCAAAUCCCUAGUAUUUUAAAUAAUUGGUUGCAUGCGGUAUACAGUAGCUCUACUCUCUAAAGGAAACCUACAAAGCCAUUUUACCAUGUUAAACCUACUCUAGACCGAGAUGCUCUCAGACUUGUGUCUGAUAACUGUCAGUGUUCAUUUAUUUUAACACUGUUAAAAUUAACUCAAUAUCCAAAUGAUACAGUUAACCCUGUUAAAUUUGAUUUGUUACAAAUCAAAUGAAUAAAUAAAUGGAAAC